This 2986-nucleotide long non-coding RNA is filed under the name Homo sapiens (human). RNAcentral's name for it is "non-protein coding lnc-ZNF644-1:6". Lineage: Eukaryota; Metazoa; Chordata; Mammalia; Primates; Hominidae. The record is from RNAcentral.
GCAGACAGUGCCCGUGCCGGGGCGGGGAGGCGAGUUCUCCCUGCGGCCGCGGACCCUGGAUGGUGGCGUCGCCCGAAGACGCGCCUCACCGGCCUGGGUGGGGUUGCCUUUUGCCCUCGAGGCUGGCCUAAGCGCUGGGGGGCCGCUGGCUAACCCUGAGGUAGAUACUCGGGAAAUGGGUGGAAUAGGGAAAGGGACUCAGCCCUUCCGCCCUUUUCCCCAGUCGAGGCCCGCGUCACUGCCCUGUGGGUGCAGACGCCUCCAGUGUCACUCCCCUGGAUUUCGCUUGGGCAGAAGAAGAGAUUGUAGGCCGGACCCCAACGCCGAAGCCCUGAGGCUUCUAAUGUGAGGAAAAACACGGAAUGACAAGUGUGGGAAAGAGCAAGCACUAAAUUACUGUCAGAAAAAUAAACGGAGUAGCACAGUGCUGCUCGGUGAUUUACGGGGGCAAUUAGUCACCACCCCACGGCGCUGCUGAGGACAGCACGGCAGCAGACAAGUCAGGCCCAUGAGGAAGAAGAGGCUUUGCACUGCUCUCCAGACAACUUUUCAAACAACAAGAGAGGAUAUUUGAGCACAUUAGGUUUUGUGUCUUCAUUCUGGGUACCUACUCUUCAUAUUAUUCUACCAACUUAAUACAUAAACAUAUUUUUAGCACAAUAUGAACCUGUUCUAUGUGUGUUUAAAAGCCUCCAGCAGCAACUUUUUUCUCUCCCACUGUCCAAAGUUGGGUUUUCCCCAUCCCUUAAAAAACAAAACAAAAAAACCUUUCUUCACUCCAAAUUGUCCCCCUGGUGUGUGGUUUUGGUCUUUCUCAUUACUUCUUGCAUCUUGCUACAUGUUCUGCAUUUGCUCAGAGCCACUGGGUGCUAAGGAAUUUGGUCUGCUGCUCCUCUGGGAAAGUUUGGUAAGCUGGUACAAGGAGGUGAUGAACAAGGCUAAAUGAAAAUCAUACAUAAACUUCCCAAUAUUUGUGAACAUGUUCUUUAACAUACCAUACAUAGUUUCUAUGUAUAUGUAACAUAGCAAAACAAACUUGCUAAGGUAUAAUUAAUUGGUAUGCAUGCCUUCAUAAAUAUUCACCAUCAGAAGAAACCUAGAAUGAAAGGUUGUGAAAGAACCCAGGAAUGAGAAAGACUUUAUUGACUAAAGGCCAUGUCUAUGUAGGGGCAACAAUGAAGCUGUGGGUGAGCAAAUGAAGCUUCAUCAGGAGUUUAGUAUCCUUAUGUAGCAUUACCUAAGAAUGCUACCAUAGUAAAUUUCUGAAGUACUUUACCUGUUACAAAGAACGUUUGUAAUCUCCUUUUCUUAUUUGAUCUUGCCCUGGCUUUAGUCAGGAACACCUGCUCAGUUAGAAAUGUAUUCGGUGGGUAUGUACGCAGUUGGAGAAUGUGCCCCAACACACGCCGCCUUUGGCCUGUAUGUUGGAGUCCUAGAGAGGCAGACAAUGUUGAUGAGCUUGGUACCAGCAUGGUGCGCCAUUCAUCCGGACACAAUUUCUGAUAAAGAGGGUCACAACUGGGAGAAACCUCAGAUUCUACUUGCUUCUCUUCUCCACGUUAUUAGACUUUUUUUCCCCUCUUGAAUUUUAUAAGCACACUCCUUUUAAAACAAUUAAUUAAUAACGAGCACUGGGAUUUGAUGUAGAAUUGCGUAUUUGUAACUGCAAUGGCACUGGUUUUCAACUACCCUGUAACAAGGAAGCAAUUCUAACCAGCAAAAGAGGCAGACGUGUUUCUGUGCAACAUCACAGGCGUGUGAAAUUGUUCAGAUAUUGAGAUAUCAGGAGUGAUAUAAAUUGGAAAUUUAACCAAAAAUAUUUUCCAUCAGUGAACAAAGCCGAUUUUAAAGUGCCUCUUGCAUUUUUCAGAUCUUUCUCUUUCUUUUUCCCAAAGUCACAUUGUAGUUUCUGAUAAAGGAACACACUGGGAAAACUAAGCACAUAUUUAAUCAAUGAAAUUUAAGGUGUAAAAAUUCUGCAUUUCUGACAAAUUUAAUGUUCACUUUUUUCUUGAUUUAAAUAGAGCAUUCUAAAAAUAUUACCCCUAUAGGGGAUAAAUUUUUAUAUGCAUGUUAUUUUUCUUUACAAAGUGUGGGCUAGUAAAGAGUGAAAAAGACCUUGGCUAUUGUACUUAUUUCUUGAAAGAAAUAAUAGCAUCUUAAUGACUGGAUUCAAAUCUCUGCUUAUCACACAACUUCCGUACAGUUCAAAGAGAGGACUUGGAUUGAAUGAAAACAGAGAGCUGGGGCUUCCUACAUUCCCCUGUGUUUGUGUUCAUACAGAAUAUUUAUGCAAUAUUCUGACUUGGCCAUAAUCUGUAAUUCCUGCCUAUUAUUCUCAGUUGCAACUAUAAAUUCUAGAUUAAUGGUUAUAAUUUUGGUAAGGCAUACAUGAAAAGUUAUAUGUUCCUGCUUGAAAGGAGGAUCAUUAAAUAUUCAUUAUUACCACUCAAAUUAGUUGUCAUGCUCUGUGUAAUAGUUACCCGUUAUCAUUUCACUAGUUUGGAUUCAGCAGUAAGUGAACAGCAAUAUAUAGCUCAUAGCGCCAGAGGACUUUUUUUGUCGGGGAACAGGGAGAGAAAUGAUUUUAAAACCCAUUUGACAUAUUUAUGUUGACAAAUUAUUUAAAGGAAUUACUGUGUUGUAAUAAACAUGUUUGUAUGUUGGAAUAGGAUUGUGGCUAAAUUUGCUUCUAGCUGUUUAAUUACUCUUAUUAUGAUUGUGAAAAACAGUGCUUCUUCAAGUAGUUCCAAGGAAAAAAAUAGAAAAUGGAAAAGUUGAGCUAUUUCAGUCUUUUGCAGGUAUCUAACCUUGCCAUGAAAAAGCACUUUUCAUUUUUGUAAGUAGAUAUUGAAAUCUUGCUUUUUCAGCGAAGCUAGAUUGUAUAAUUUAUUAGUUUUCUCCACCUGGUAACACAUCCUUAAGAAAAAAAUUGCCAAAAGUAAAGCAUGAGAUGGAUUUUAAAAUAAAUGUUGUGGAUGAACAC